GGGCUGGCUUCGGCAGCAUGUGUCCUAAAAUUUGAAUAAUACAGGUAGAAUGAGCGUGGCUCCUGGGCCAGGAUGACAGGUGAACUAGUGAUGCGUUGGAGACGUUU
RNAcentral lists this small nuclear RNA (107 nucleotides) under Procavia capensis (Cape rock hyrax). Lineage: Eukaryota; Metazoa; Chordata; Mammalia; Hyracoidea; Procaviidae. The record is from RNAcentral.